This 253-nucleotide ribosomal RNA is filed under the name uncultured bacterium. RNAcentral describes it as "partial 16S ribosomal RNA". It matches the Rfam family "Bacterial small subunit ribosomal RNA", at positions 524 to 776 of the family's 1533-position model. The record is from RNAcentral.
UACAGAGGGUGCGAGCGUUAAUCGGAAUUACUGGGCGUAAAGGGCGCGUAGGCGGAUGAGAAAGUUAGAUGUGAAAUCCCCGGGCUUAACCUGGGCAUGGCAUUUAAAACUUCUUAUCUAGAGUAGAGUAGAGGGAAGUGGAAUUUCCGGUGUAGCGGUGAAAUGCGUAGAGAUCGGAAAGAACACCAGUGGCGAAGGCGGCUUCCUGGACUCAUACUGACGCUGAGGCGCGAAAGCGUGGGGAGCAAACAGG